GAUGAAGAACGUAGCGAAAUGCGAUACUUGGUGUGAAUUGCAGAAUCCCGUGAACCAUCGAGUCUUUGAACGCAAGUUGCGCCCGAAGCCAUUUGGUUGAGGGCACGUCUGCCUGGGCGUCACAUAUCGUUGCCCGAUGCCUAUUGAACUGUGAUAGGAAAUUCUAGGGCGAAAGAUGGCUUCCCGUGAGCGUUGUUGCCUCGCGGUUGGUUGAAAAUUGAGUCCUUGGUAGGGUGUGCCAUGAUAGAUGGUGGUCGAGUUUGCACGAGACCGAUCAUGUGUGCGCUCCCCAAAAUAUGGACUCUUUGACCCCACACGCGUCUUUUGACGCUCAUGACGAGACCUCAGGUCAGGCGGGGCUACCCGCUGAGUUUAAGCAUAUCAAUAAGCGGAGGA
Molecule: unclassified non-coding RNA, 396 nt
Filed under: soil metagenome
Description: partial contains 5.8S ribosomal RNA, internal transcribed spacer 2, and large subunit ribosomal RNA
Rfam family: 5.8S ribosomal RNA (bases 1-122)
Source: RNAcentral